Molecule: ribosomal RNA, 406 nt
Filed under: uncultured Alphaproteobacteria bacterium
Lineage: Bacteria; Pseudomonadati; Pseudomonadota; Alphaproteobacteria
Description: bacterial SSU rRNA
Rfam family: Bacterial small subunit ribosomal RNA
Source: RNAcentral
CGCCUAACACAUGCAAGUCGAACGAACUAGCAAUACUUAAUGGCAGACAGGUGAGUAACAUGUGGGUAUCUACCCUUUGGCCUGGAAUAACACGAGGAAACUUGUGCUAAUACCGGAUAAGUCUUUACGGAGAAAGCUUUAUGCACCAUUGGAUGAGCCCGCACUUGAUUAGUUUGUUGGUAGGGUAAUGGCCUACCAAGACUAUAAUCAAUAGCUGAUUUGAGAGGAUGAUCAGCCACAUUGGGACUGAAACACGGCCCAAACUCCUACGGGAGGCAGCAGUGGGGAAUCUUGCACAAUGGAGGAAACUCUGAUGCACCGAUGCCGCGUGAGUGAAGAAGGCCUUUGGGCUGUAAAGCUCUUUCGUCGGGAUAGAAAAUGACUGUACCCGAAUAAGAAGGUCCGG